This 250-nucleotide ribosomal RNA is filed under the name uncultured prokaryote. RNAcentral's name for it is "partial 16S rRNA". It matches the Rfam family "Bacterial small subunit ribosomal RNA", at positions 525 to 775 of the family's 1533-position model. The record is from RNAcentral.
ACGUAGGGGACGAGCGUUGUCCGGAUUUACUGGGCGUAAAGGGCGCGUAGGCGGUCAUUUAAGUCAGCUGUGAAAUGGUUUGGCUUAACCGGAUCAUGCGGUUGAAACUGGAUGACUGGAGUGCUGGUGAGGUAAGUGGAAUUUGCAGUGUAGCGGUGAAAUGCGUAGAGAUGGGAAAGAACACCGAUGGCGAAGGCAGGUUACUAACCCGUUACUGACGCUGAGGCACGAAAGCGUGGGGAUCAAACAG